AAGACUUGUCCAUCCAGCCUCACAUGUUGGAGCCAGAGUCUGACCCAGAGCCAGAGGAGAAUUAAGACCAGACAUUAUUUAGUAGUUCUGUCGCAAACUCUGACAUAAUUGUUAAAUAAACUGAGCGGGGUUGAAAAAUAUGACCCAAAUAUCACUCAGACUCCAAAUACACAACCAAAUGCAUUUAACAGCUAAAAAAAGUGGAUUUUUCAUGAUAUGUCCUCUUUAAUCRAUGUGAGAUUAUUUAUGAUUUCAGCAAAAAAAUAAAUAAAUAUAUAAAACCGAUUCACACUUCAAUAUCAUUUUUCCUGUUCUUUAUUAAAAUACUGCUGUACACACAAAUAUUGCAAAAUCUGAGACAAGAACACAAGAGGGGCAUAAAACAUACUAAGAUGGUGAUUGUAGACAUGUCGCUGGGGGGUGGGGGUGGGGGGGGCAGGUGUCAUCAUUAUUAUUAACCGGAGUGUGUGUUAUGUGGUGUUGAGCAUUGACAUCCUGUAUGAGGAGGUGUGUGUCUGCGUGUGUUGGAGGUUUUCUAAAGCACCACAUUCACCAACAUGUCGCCUGUUUAUUUCACUAAAACAGAGGAAGUGGUACAUGAUGUAACCUGGCUCACCUGUUGCCAUCAAGAACAGACCGACGACUCAAAAGGCGGACAGCCGAUGAGACGACACUUCAUUUAGAGACCAUCUGGUUCCUCCUGUUUCUUCACAAUCAAACAAGAGGAUUUGUUUUGUCUUUUAUUGGAUUGAUUGGAUAGGUUAAAAAAUAUAUAUCUUUUUUUUAUUAUUAUUUUUUUGCAGUUUAAGCCAAACGAAAAGAGAUCUGUGCUUCAGGGCAACAUGAAAUCCUUCGCAGCAUGAUCUCCACAAGGUUUCUUAAACUUUCUGUUUGAAGUUGUCCCACCCGCUCCAAUGAAGUUCAUUUAUCUGCCUGGACAUGGAGGGGAUGGGGGGCAGCCAGUGACACCCAAACACAUUCAAUCACUGGGCCCCUCCAGCAGUUAUUUUUUUUUUUUAAUUUUUUUUUGUCAUCCUGAGAGAAAUCCAAGCCAUCCGAGGUGGACGCAACAGCCAGCGCGCCACUACCGAGUCUCUUUCCAUGAUCUUAAAACAUCAAAUUAAAAAAAUAAUAAUACAAUUCCCAUCUUUUUCGUCCCCCCCACCCUAAUUUUAUACCUAAAACUUCUGCUGGAAUUGGUCCACACAUUAUUAAAAGAGUGGGGCAAAAAAAUAAUAAUAAUCGAUUGCCCCUCCCAUGUCUCGUCGUGCAUUUCUGCACAAAGCUGGGCGAAGAGAAAAAGAAGCAGCUGGUAAAAAGUCACAACGUUUCACUGUUUCUCAAAACAAAAGCCCCCGCCCUGAAGGGAAGUGACGUUUGGGAUAAGAUGAAAAGAGGAGGGCAGGUAAGAGACAGAGAAGGGGGAGAUUGUAGGGGAGUGAGAAGACUGAAAAGGGGGCGGGGUCAAAUUAAGGACAUUCCACAAAGAGGCAGCUGUGGCUCCACUAGUGCUGACCCGAAAAGGCCCAUCUUUGAUGUCACAACAGUGUCCAUAAACCAAAAGGUGGUUGCUGCAUAAGUAACAAAUCACUUGGAGAGGACAACCGUUCCUCACUUACCCCCACUGCAACAGAAUCUGGUCCCGAGUCCAAAGCCCCGCCCACCCACAAAUAUGAGCCUUUAUCUCCUGACCAAAAUGUCAGAAAUCCUCAUUUUCCAGUUUAAAAACCCUUCCACCUAGCCCCAGUGGUUCGUCCUUUCACGAGGUGGAACCAUCAAACAAGGCGGAGGUGGGCUGGCCCGGUUCAAGAACCGGGUAACACCCCACCACAACAAAGGCCUUGAGUGGUGCGUCCCGUCUCUGAGUGCGUAAGAAUGAAGGGGUGUGAUCUCCAACCCGCAGAGAAACGUGGUCAAAAGAAAGCUGGAUUUCUUUGCUUUCAGCUCUGGUCUGUGUGUGUGUGUGUGUGUGUGAGUGUGUGUGUGUGUCUGUGUGUGAGACUUUAGGUCUCUGUGCACCCUGUAGGCCACUCACACAUAUUCAUAAAAAUAACAAAGAAGUUUGACCAAAAAAAUUAAAAUCUUAGUGCAUCCUUCUCAGAAAAAUAAACCCCAACUGUAGAAAUAAACAAUAAAAGCAGGAAAAUAGUCCAAAACCUGGUGGUUUGUCUCAUUUUGUUCCCCAAAUUUAGAAAAAAAAAAAGUUGUUUAUCACAGCUUCUUGAACUGUCUUUUUUUUUCAGCUGCAGGGUUUAGGAAAACAAAACAAAAACAAAAAUUCACUUUAAAAAAGCCUCCUGGUGGACAGGGAUCAGUGUAUGUGACUGAGGUUCACGAAGCCCUGCCUCGCUGCCCGUUGCUGUGUGUUGAUGUUGUGUGUGUGUGUGUGUGUGUGUGUGUGCCUGGUCCUCCGCUGUAGUGCAAUUGUGUGCUCCAGGUCCGGACAGUCCCGCCCUGGGCCCGAAGAGGGCGCUACAGAGAGCCGGCCGCAGCAGCCUGCAGCUCCUGGAAGGUGCUGUCGAAGCAGCGCUUCAGGUCCGAGUACGUAACAACCAGGACGCUUUUCUCAUCCCGAGAAACCAGGCUGAUCUUCUCUGGAACACCCGCGUCCAGCUGAACACACACACACACACACACACACACACACACACACACACACACACACACACACA
Austrofundulus limnaeus is the source of this 2672-nucleotide long non-coding RNA. RefSeq lists it as uncharacterized. The record is from RefSeq and is a predicted model, not a curated record. NCBI's taxonomy places the organism in Eukaryota, Metazoa, Chordata, Actinopteri, Cyprinodontiformes, Rivulidae. The transcript is spliced from 2 exons.